AUAUACUCACUUUGUCAUCAACAUCAGUAAAGUUCCGUACAUAAUUGACUUCAUAUCCCAGAUAUUGCAGGUAUCUACUCAAUUCUCAACAAAGUAAAACCUUGUUAGUAUCCAAAAUUAGGGCCAGCUUGGAUCAGCAAAGGUAAAUCAAUAU
This is a long non-coding RNA of Telopea speciosissima, 154 nucleotides long. RefSeq lists it as uncharacterized. NCBI's taxonomy places the organism in Eukaryota, Viridiplantae, Streptophyta, Magnoliopsida, Proteales, Proteaceae. The transcript has 3 exons. The record is from RefSeq and is a predicted model, not a curated record.